GCCACCUUAGCUCAGCUGGCCAGAGCGAUUGAUUCGUAAUCAGUAGGUCCCGAGUUCGAGUCUCGGAGGUGGCU
This 74-nucleotide transfer RNA is filed under the name Bacteroidota bacterium. RNAcentral's name for it is "Bacteroidetes bacterium tRNA-Thr". It matches the Rfam family "tRNA". From Rfam's summary of the family: Transfer RNA (tRNA) molecules are approximately 80 nucleotides in length. The record is from RNAcentral. RNAcentral also lists the same sequence under 1 other name. Lineage: Bacteria; Pseudomonadati; Bacteroidota.